GGCGGAUGUAGCCAAGUGGAUGAAGGCGGU
This 30-nucleotide transfer RNA is filed under the name Passiflora elegans. Its description in RNAcentral is "partial tRNA-His". The record is from RNAcentral. RNAcentral also lists the same sequence under 1 other name. Lineage: Eukaryota; Viridiplantae; Streptophyta; Magnoliopsida; Malpighiales; Passifloraceae.